UCACCGCUUGCGCGGGCAGUUUCUCCAGAGUCCCCGACCGAAUCGUUGGCAACUGGAGAUAGGGGUUGCGCUCGUUGCAGGACUUAACCUAACACCUCACGGCACGAGCUGACGACAGCCAUGCAGCACCUAGUUUCGUGUCCUUGCGGACUGACCCCUUUCAGGGUCAUUCACUAACUUUCAAGCCCAGGUAAGGUUCCUCGCGUACCAUCGAAUUAAACCACAUGCUCCUCCGCUUGUGCGGGCCCCCGUCAAUUCCUUUGAGUUUCAGUCUUGCGACCGUACUCCCCAGGUGGAUAACUUAACGCUUUCGCUAAGCCGCUGACUGUGUAUCGCCAACAGCGAGUUAUCAUCGUUUAAGGCGUGGACUAC
RNAcentral lists this unclassified non-coding RNA (372 nucleotides) under uncultured Sphingobacteriales bacterium. RNAcentral's name for it is "contains 16S-23S intergenic spacer region". Lineage: Bacteria; Pseudomonadati; Bacteroidota; Sphingobacteriia; Sphingobacteriales. The record is from RNAcentral.